RNAcentral lists this ribosomal RNA (250 nucleotides) under uncultured bacterium. Its description in RNAcentral is "partial 16S ribosomal RNA". It matches the Rfam family "Bacterial small subunit ribosomal RNA", at positions 102 to 353 of the family's 1533-position model. The record is from RNAcentral.
ACGGGUGAGUAAUGUCUGGGAAACUGCCUGAUGGAGGGGGAGUAACUACUGGAAACGGUAGCUAAUACCGCAUAACGUCGCAAGACCAAGAGGGGGACCUUCGGGCCUCUUGCCAUCAGAUGUGCCCAGAUGGGAUUAGCUAGUAGGUGGGGUAACGGCUCACCUAGGCGACAAUCCCUAGCUGGUCUGAGAGGAUGACCAGCCACACUGGAACUGAGACACGGUCCAGACUCCUACGGGAGGCAGCAUG